UACGGAGGGUGCGAGCGUUGUCCGGAAUCACUGGGCGUAAAGGGCGCGUAGGCGGCCUGGUAAGUAGGGGGUGAAAUCCUGCGGCUUAACCGCAGGGCUGCCUUCUAAACUGUCAGGCUCGAGCACGGUAGAGGCAGAUGGAAUUCCCGGUGUAGCGGUGGAAUGCGUAGAGAUCGGGAGGAACACCAAUUGCGAAGGCAGCUCGCUGGGACGUUACUGACGCUGAGACGCGAAAGCGUGGGGAGCAAACAGG
Molecule: ribosomal RNA, 253 nt
Filed under: uncultured bacterium
Lineage: Bacteria
Description: partial 16S ribosomal RNA
Rfam family: Bacterial small subunit ribosomal RNA
Source: RNAcentral